This 71-nucleotide transfer RNA is filed under the name Cordylochernes scorpioides. RNAcentral's name for it is "tRNA-Gly". It matches the Rfam family "tRNA". Rfam says of the family: Transfer RNA (tRNA) molecules are approximately 80 nucleotides in length. Their secondary structure includes four short double-helical elements and three loops (D, anti-codon, and T loops). The record is from RNAcentral. Lineage: Eukaryota; Metazoa; Arthropoda; Arachnida; Pseudoscorpiones; Chernetidae.
CCAUCGGUGGUUCAGUGGUAGAAUGCUCGUCUGCCACGCGGGCGGCCAGGGUUCGAUUCCCGGCCGAUGCA